GAUGAACGCUGGCGGCGUGCCUAAUACAUGCAAGUCGAGCGAAUGGAUUAAGAGCUUGCUCUUAUGAAGUUAGCGGCGGACGGGUGAGUAACACGUGGGUAACCUGCCCAUAAGACUGGGAUAACUCCGGGAAAACGGGGCUAAUACCGGAUAACAUUUUGAACCGCAUGGUUCGAAAUUGAAAGGCGGCUUCGGCUGUCACUUAUGGAUGGACCCGCGUCGCAUUAGCUAGUUGGUGAGGUAACGGCUCACCAAGGCAACGAUGCGUAGCCGACCAGAGAGGGGUAUCGGCCACACUGGGACUGAGACACGGCCCAGACUACUACGGGAGGCAGCAGUAGGGAAUCUUCCGGAAUGGACGAAAGUCUGACGGAGCAAAGCCGCGUGAGUGAUGAAGGCUUUCGGGUCGUAAAACUCUGUUGUUAGGGAAGAACAAGUGCUAGUUGAAUAAGCUGACACCUUGACGGUACCUAACCAGAAAGCCACGGCUAACUACGUGCCAGCCGCCGCAGUAA
RNAcentral lists this ribosomal RNA (515 nucleotides) under uncultured bacterium. RNAcentral's name for it is "partial 16S ribosomal RNA". It matches the Rfam family "Bacterial small subunit ribosomal RNA", at positions 28 to 523 of the family's 1533-position model. The record is from RNAcentral.